Molecule: ribosomal RNA, 253 nt
Filed under: uncultured bacterium
Lineage: Bacteria
Description: partial 16S ribosomal RNA
Rfam family: Bacterial small subunit ribosomal RNA
Source: RNAcentral
UACGUAGGGGGCUAGCGUUGUCCGGAAUCAUUGGGCGUAAAGCGCGUGUAGGCGGUCCGGUAAGUCCGCUGUGAAAGUCGGGGGCUCAACCCUCGGAUGCCGGUGGAUACUGUCGGGCUUGAGUACGGAAGAGGCGAGUGGAAUUCCUGGUGUAGCGGUGAAAUGCGCAGAUAUCAGGAAGAACACCAAUGGCGAAAGCAGCUUUCUGGGACGGUACUGACGCUGAGACGCGAAAGCGUGGGGAGCGAACAGG